GAUUGAACGCUGGCGGCAGGCCUAACACAUGCAAGUCGAACGGUAACAGGAAGCAGCUUGCUGUUUCGCUGACGAGUGGCGGACGGGUGAGUAAUGUCUGGGAAACUGCCUGAUGGAGGGGGAUAACUACUGGAAACGGUAGCUAAUACCGCAUAACGUCGCAAGACCAAAGAGGGGGACCUUCGGGCCUCUUGCCAUCGGAUGUGCCCAGAUGGGAUUAGCUAGUAGGUGGGGUAACGGCUCACCUAGGCGACGAUCCCUAGCUGGUCUGAGAGGAUGACCAGCCACACUGGAACUGAGACACGGUCCAGACUCCUACGGGAGGCAGCAGUGGGGAAUAUUGCACAAUGGGCGCAAGCCUGAUGCAGCCAUGCCGCGUGUAUGAAGAAGGCCUUCGGGUUGUAAAGUACUUUCAGCGGGGAGGAAGGGAGUAAAGUUAAUACCUUUGCUCAUUGACGUUACCCGCAGAAGAAGCACCGGCUAACUCCGUGCCAGCAGCCGCGGUAAUACGGAGGGUGCAAGCGUUAAUCGGAAUUACUGGGCGUAAAGCGCACGCAGGCGGUUUGUUAAGUCAGAUGUGAAAUCCCCGGGCUCAACCUGGGAACUGCAUCUGAUACUGGCAAGCUUGAGUCUCGUAGAGGGGGGUAGAAUUCCAGGUGUAGCGGUGAAAUGCGUAGAGAUC
RNAcentral lists this ribosomal RNA (682 nucleotides) under Shigella sp. RNAcentral's name for it is "bacterial SSU rRNA". It matches the Rfam family "Bacterial small subunit ribosomal RNA", at positions 27 to 698 of the family's 1533-position model. Lineage: Bacteria; Pseudomonadati; Pseudomonadota; Gammaproteobacteria; Enterobacterales; Enterobacteriaceae. The record is from RNAcentral.